AUGGCUCAGAUUGAACGCUGGCGGCAGGCUUAACACAUGCAAGUCGAACGGUUUUGAGUACUUGUACUUAAGAUAGUGGCGAACGGGUGAGUAAUGCCUAGGAAUCUGCCGAUUAAUGGGGGAUAACGUCCCGAAAGGAACGCUAAUACCGCAUACGCCCUACGGGGAAAGCAGGGGAUCUUCGGACCUUGCGUUAAUUGAUGAGCCUAGGUCGGAUUAGCUAGUUGGUGAGGUAAAGGCUCACCAAGGCGACGAUCUGUAGCGGGUCUGAGAGGAUGAUCCGCCACACUGGGACUGAGACACGGCCCAGACUCCUACGGGAGGCAGCAGUGGGGAAUAUUGGACAAUGGGCGGAAGCCUGAUCCAGCCAUGCCGCGUGUGUGAAGAAGGCCUUUAGGUUGUAAAGCACUUUAAGCGGGGAGGAGGCUACCUGGGAUAAUACCCUGGAGUAGUGGACGUUACCCGCAGAAUAAGCACCGGCUAACUCUGUG
RNAcentral lists this ribosomal RNA (491 nucleotides) under uncultured bacterium. RNAcentral describes it as "bacterial SSU rRNA". It matches the Rfam family "Bacterial small subunit ribosomal RNA", at positions 19 to 507 of the family's 1533-position model. The record is from RNAcentral.